RNAcentral lists this long non-coding RNA (586 nucleotides) under Helianthus annuus (common sunflower). The record is from RNAcentral. Lineage: Eukaryota; Viridiplantae; Streptophyta; Magnoliopsida; Asterales; Asteraceae.
GAUCAUAAAAAAUUACUAAGAAUGGCAUCUUGAAAAUUUCCAUCAGCGUAUGUAUAGCUUGUAGCAUGUGGACUUAACCCAUCUCUACUGCCCUCUCGUUCAUUGUAGUGGUAGAAUGCAAGUGCUCUCAGAGAUCUUAACACAUGCCAACAAUCUCUUCAUCCUAUGCCAUGCCAACAAAUUACGUGGCUUGGAUUGCAAGGUGACAUGGGGCACACAUCAGUACCACAAAUAGAACCCCCACCGUCACAGAGUCCCCACCACCACGAGCAAAGCUUGUUAAUGACGUCUGACCGACGACCACCCUGGAACCCCCACCACCACUUGGUCUCCUAAACGCCGACGGCUUGUAAAGCCGAAUUUGUUAAAGAAACAGAAGGAGCCAGGUGUUGAUUUGAUAAACCCUAAAAAGGUGUGAGUUGUUGAUUCAGUAAAAUUGGAGGUUGAUUCGUCAAAUUUGAAGGUUGAUUUGGUGAAUUCUGUUGAGAAUUUGGGUGAUAAAGUUGAAGAAAUAUAGGAAUUGGUGAUGAAGAAGGUCCAGUUGGGAAAAUAUGGCAGAGAGACAGGGGAGAGAUUGAGAGAGUAU